Molecule: long non-coding RNA, 409 nt
Organism: Rhinichthys klamathensis goyatoka
Lineage: Eukaryota; Metazoa; Chordata; Actinopteri; Cypriniformes; Leuciscidae
Exons: 4
Source: RefSeq, a predicted model, not a curated record
AUAGGUGAAGAUAAGUUUUAUUCAACUGCAACAUUGGAAACACUUUCCACAACACUGUUAGCCACAGAUGUUUCAACCUCAGCUUACAGUCCAAUUGUCCAGACUGAAGGCAACAUUGACGCGAGUGCAGAAGUGACAGCUAAUCUGACAGCAGUAGUGAUGACCGCAAUAGUGUCUCUGUGUGUCCUCAUAUCACUGAUCAUAUGUGUGAUUCUUUAUUUCAGAAAACGAAGGAGCAACAUCAACAGCCAAAUUGAAUUGAACUGCUGGUCUUCCGUAUCUUAUUCUGAAAUUUCAGGAGGGUUUGAUGCCCCAUUCAAUUCUUUAGUUGAAUUUAACACAUGAAUCAUGACCUUGCAACUAUUACAACACAUGAUGACUGACAUAAUUUUUUUCACAAUUUAUGCUA